Molecule: small RNA, 30 nt
Filed under: Bombyx mori (domestic silkworm)
Lineage: Eukaryota; Metazoa; Arthropoda; Insecta; Lepidoptera; Bombycidae
Description: ovarian small RNA-14898
Source: RNAcentral
CUGCAUGAACAUCUCCGCGAUGUCCGCGAU